RNAcentral lists this ribosomal RNA (332 nucleotides) under uncultured bacterium. RNAcentral describes it as "bacterial SSU rRNA". It matches the Rfam family "Bacterial small subunit ribosomal RNA", at positions 8 to 334 of the family's 1533-position model. The record is from RNAcentral.
AGGGUUUGAUUCUGGCUCAGGAUGAACGCUAGCGACAGGCUUAACACAUGCAAGUCGAGGGGCAGCACGAGGUAGCAAUACUUUGGUGGCGACCGGCGCACGGGUGAGUAACGCGUAUGCAACUUACCUAUCAGAGCAGGAUAGCCCGGCGAAAGUCGGAUUAAUACUGCAUAAAACAGGGGCUCCGCAUGGAGCUAUUUGUUAAAGAUUUAUCGCUGAUAGAUAGGCAUGCGUUCCAUUAGGCAGUUGGCGGGGUAACGGCCCACCAAACCGACGAUGGAUAGGGGUUCUGAGAGGAAGGUCCCCCACAUUGGUACUGAGACACGGACCAA